This 1452-nucleotide ribosomal RNA is filed under the name Triticum aestivum (bread wheat). RNAcentral's name for it is "partial small subunit ribosomal RNA". The record is from RNAcentral. Lineage: Eukaryota; Viridiplantae; Streptophyta; Magnoliopsida; Poales; Poaceae.
AUGGCUAACCAGUCGAUUGAGACUUCGCGAAGUCUCAGUCGACUGAUUUUUAGCAGCGCCGAAACCUUAUAUCAACCAAACCAAGGAAACCCUCUUUUCUUCUUCUUCUUCUGCCGCAGCACAGAUCGCAAAUCCACCGCUAGCUCGGCUCGUGCCGGCCGCCUCAUGGAUAGCUCCGGCGCGUCGUCGUCAGCUCCCGAGGCCUCGUCCUCGUCCUCGUCAGCCCCGCACCGCUACCCGGACUGGGUGUUGCUGGGCACCAACACCCUCAUCGACCCCGACGACCACUUCCACGCGACCAGUGCGGGCGCUAUCACCUCCAAGGGCGAGCCCAUCCACGUCUCCUUCCGCGCGGUACCGCCCCCGGGGGUCUCCUCCGUCUACGUGCGCUGGACUCGCGGCAAUCGCAGGUCGGAACCCUUGCCCUCCGUGGCCGCUGCCCACCGCAACUCCAUCCUUCUCAAGCUCCGUCGCGGUUACAACAGUAAAGACCUGUUCGUGUACACUGCCAGCUCCACCGGGCCGACAUGGCUCCGGCUCCUCCCUGCUUUCGAACGCAAUUAUUACGACGACGAUUACGACACUUUAUGUAGAAAGUUCAGCCUUCAUCACAUCGAUCUCCUAUGCGAUGGUGAUGGAGAAGAAUUCGUGGUGGCGGAGCUCAAGAUUGAAGCGAAAAGCAGAUACUUCUACGGCCGGCGCCGCCGCCGGGACGACGACGAUACCACUCCGGUGGAAGCUGCGCUCUUGGUGUUCCGGUCCGGCGGCCCGGGGGACAACUGGAAGGCCACACAGCCGCGGAUCCGCCAUAAGAAGGGGCAAGGCGAGGAGCUGACCAGCUGGUCGACCGAUGAGACGGUCCCCUUCGGCGAUUCCCUGUGCUACGUUGAUUAUUCCCGCGGCAUCUUGUUCGUGGACGUCCUCAGCGAGUGCCCGGAGCUACGGUACGUCCAGCUACCGGUGACGAUCCCCACUAUUUGUCCGUACGGCCUCAAAACUCUGACUGGCCAUAGCCAGGUGCCCCCGGGACGGUGCCGGCGCUUGUGCGUCACCGAUGGUGGCCGCACCAUGAAGUUCGUCGAGGUCGUCACCACUACCGUCUUCAUGUCCCGCGGCCGUGCCACCGCCUCCGCUUUGUUUACCAUCAACGUGUGGAGGUUGAGACGGGAAGGUAAAUCCAUGACAUGGGAGAAAGAAAGCCACAUGGAAGAUUCAGAGCUCUGGACUCAGCAGGGCUACGGCGAUCUCCCGCGUGUUGCCCCUACGUGCCCCCGUGUGAGCAUGGGGGAGCCUAAUGUCAUCUACCUGACGAUCGAUGCCGACGAGACAUGGGUCAUCAUCGUGGUUGACAUGUUGACCAAGACUCUGCGAUCAUCCUUCAGAUACACGAGCAAGUCGGCCGCAACUCCUUGUGAGUUCUCUAAGCACUUGCAUGUGCCUGAGACCAGCUAA